ACAUACGACCAUACCCACUGGAGAACUCGGGAUCCCGUCCGCUCUCCCAUAGAUAAGCCAGUGAGGGCUGGAGUAGUAGUCGGGUCGGUGACGACCGGCGAAUGCCCGGUGCUGUAUGUU
Molecule: non-coding RNA, 120 nt
Organism: Colletotrichum gloeosporioides
Lineage: Eukaryota; Fungi; Ascomycota; Sordariomycetes; Glomerellales; Glomerellaceae
Source: Rfam